RNAcentral lists this ribosomal RNA (492 nucleotides) under uncultured bacterium. Its description in RNAcentral is "partial 16S ribosomal RNA". It matches the Rfam family "Bacterial small subunit ribosomal RNA", at positions 29 to 507 of the family's 1533-position model. The record is from RNAcentral.
AGUGAACGCUGGCGGUAGGCCUAACACAUGCAAGUCGAACGGCAGCACAGUAAGAGCUUGCUCUUACGGGUGGCGAGUGGCGGACGGGUGAGGAAUACAUCGGAAUCUACUUUUUCGUGGGGGAUAACGUAGGGAAACUUACGCUAAUACCGCAUACGACCUACGGGUGAGAGCAGGGGAUCUUCGGACCUUGCGCGAUUGAAUGAGCCGAUGUCGGAUUAGCUAGUUGGCGGGGUAAAGGCCCACCAAGGCGACGAUCCGUAGCUGGCCUGAGAGGAUGAUCAGCCACACUGGAACUGAGACACGGUCCAGACUCCUACGGGAGGCAGCAGUGGGGAAUAUUGGACAAUGGGCGCAAGCCUGAUCCAGCCAUACCGCGUGGGUGAAGAAGGCCUUCGGGUUGUAAAGCCCUUUUGUUGGGAAAGAAAAGCAGCAGGUUAAUACCCCGCUGUUCUGACGGUACCCAAAGAAUAAGCACCGGCUAACUUCGUG